This 444-nucleotide ribosomal RNA is filed under the name uncultured bacterium. RNAcentral's name for it is "partial 16S ribosomal RNA". It matches the Rfam family "Bacterial small subunit ribosomal RNA", at positions 338 to 795 of the family's 1533-position model. The record is from RNAcentral.
CCUACGGGAGGCAGCAGUGGGGAAUAUUGGGCAAUGGAGGCAACUCUGACCCAGCAAUGCCGCGUGAAUGAAGAAGGUCUUCGGAUUGUAAAGUUCUUUAAUUGGGGACGAAAAAAAUGACGGUACCCAAGGAAUAAGCUACGGCUAAAUACGGGCCAGCAGCCGCGGUAAUACGUAGGGGGCAAGCGUUGUUCGGAAUGACUGGGCGUAAAGGGUGUGUAGGCGGUGUAGCUAGUUAGAAGUGUAAUACCUAGAGCUUAACUCAGGUGCUGCUACUAAAACUGAUAUACUUGAGUGCAGUAGAGGAAUGUGGAAUGCGUGGUGUAGCGGUGGAAUGCGUAGAUAUUACGCAGAACAUCAGUGGCGAAGGCGACUUUCUGGACUGUAACUGACGCUGAGGCACGAAAGUGUGGGGAGCAAACAGGAUUAGAUACCCCUGUAGUC